ACAAAAAUGCAUAUGUUGUGAGUUCGAUGAGUAGGGCGGGACACGUGACAUCCUGUCUGAAUAUGGGGGGACCAUCCUCCAAGGCUAAAUACUCCUGACUGACCGAUAGUGAACCAGUACCGUGAGGGAAAGGCGAAAAGAACCCCGGCGAGGGGAGUGAAAUAGAACCUGAAACCGUGUACGUACAAGCAGUGGGAGCACCUUCGUGGUGUGACUGCGUACCUUUUGUAUAAUGGGUCAGCGACUUAUAUUUUGUAGCAAGGUUAACCGAAUAGGGGAGCCGUAGGGAAACCGAGUCUUAACUGGGCGAAUAGUUGCAAGGUAUAGACCCGAAACCCGGUGAUCUAGCCAUGGGCAGGUUGAAGGUUGGGUAACACUAACUGGAGGACCGAACCGACUAAUGUUGAAAAAUUAGCGGAUGACUUGUGGCUGGGGGUGAAAGGCCAAUCAAACCGGGAGAUAGCUGGUUCUCCCCGAAAGCUAUUUAGGUAGCGCCUCGUGAACUCAUCUUCGGGGGUAGAGCACUGUUUCGGCUAGGGGGUCAUCCCGACUUACCAAACCGAUGCAAACUCCGAAUACCGAAGAAUGUUAUCACGGGAGACACACGGCGGGUGCUAACGUCCGUCGUGAAGAGGGAAACAACCCAGACCGCCAGCUAAGGUCCCAAAGUCAUGGUUAAGUGGGAAACGAUGUGGGAAGGCAUAGACAGCCAGGAUGUUGGCUUAGAAGCAGCCAUCAUUUAAAGAAAGCGUAAUAGCUCACUGGUCGAGUCGGCCUGCGCGGAAGAUGUAACGGGGCUAAACCAUGCACCGAAGCUGCGGCAGCGACGCUUAGGCGUUGUUGGGUAGGGGAGCGUUCUGUAAGCCGUUGAAGGUGACCUGUGAGGGUUGCUGGAGGUAUCAGAAGUGCGAAUGCUGACAUAAGUAACGAUAAUGCGGGUGAAAAACCCGCACGCCGGAAGACCAAGGGUUCCUGUCCAACGUUAAUCGGGGCAGGGUGAGUCGACCCCUAAGGCGAGGCUGAAAAGCGUAGUCGAUGGGAAACAGGUUAAUAUUCCUGUACUUGGUGUUACUGCGAAGGGGGGACGGAGAAGGCUAGGCUAGCCGGGCGACGGUUGUCCCGGUUUAAGCAUGUAGGCGGAGUGACUUGGUAAAUCCGGUUGCUUAUCAACGCUGAGGUGUGAUGACGAGCCACUACGGUGGUGAAGUAGUUGAUGCCAAGCUUCCAGGAAAAGCCUCUAAGCAUCAGGUAACAUUAAAUCGUACCCCAAACCGACACAGGUGGUCAGGUAGAGAAUACUCAGGCGCUUGAGAGAACUCGGGUGAAGGAACUAGGCAAAAUGGUGCCGUAACUUCGGGAGAAGGCACGCUGGCAUUAGGUAAAGAGACUUGCUCUCGGCGCUGAAGCCAGUCGCAGAUACCAGCUGGCUGCAACUGUUUAAUAAAAACACAGCACUGUGCAAACACGAAAGUGGACGUAUACGGUGUGACGCCUGCCCGGUGCUGGAAGGUUAAUUGAUGGGGUCAGCCGCAAGGCGAAGCUCUUGAUCGAAGCCCCAGUAAACGGCGGCCGUAACUAUAACGGUCCUAAGGUAGCGAAAUUCCUUGUCGGGUAAGUUCCGACCUGCACGAAUGGCGUAAUGAUGGCCAGGCUGUCUCCACCCGAGACUCAGUGAAAUUGAACUCGCUGUGAAGAUGCAGUGUACCCGCGGCAAGACGGAAAGACCCCGUGAACCUUUACUAUAGCUUGACACUGAACAUUGAGCCUUGAUGUGUAGGAUAGGUGGGAGGCAUUGAAGUGUGGACGCCAGUCUGCAUGGAGCCAACCUUGAAAUACCACCCUUUAAUGUUUGAUGUUCUAACUCGGCCCCGUAAUC
RNAcentral lists this ribosomal RNA (1876 nucleotides) under Yersinia enterocolitica. RNAcentral's name for it is "partial 23S ribosomal RNA". It matches the Rfam family "Bacterial large subunit ribosomal RNA", at positions 379 to 2240 of the family's 2925-position model. Lineage: Bacteria; Pseudomonadati; Pseudomonadota; Gammaproteobacteria; Enterobacterales; Yersiniaceae. The record is from RNAcentral.